RNAcentral lists this long non-coding RNA (1933 nucleotides) under Cottoperca gobio. RNAcentral's name for it is "lncRNA (ENSCGOG00000010570.1)". The record is from RNAcentral. Lineage: Eukaryota; Metazoa; Chordata; Actinopteri; Perciformes; Bovichtidae.
AUUCAACACAUGUUUUCUAUAUCCGUUGUUAGACCCAGAGAGACAUACAAGGGAGGCUGCGUGUUGGCAGCAAGGAGAGACUGACUUUCUUUGGACAAGUUCAGUUAGACCCUUUGCACUCAAGUCACCAAGCAAUAAAAGUCAGAGCCAACUUCAGCCAUCAGCUCCAGCUGCAGCUCCCCUCCUCCGCUACAGUGGAGGGAAAUGUAUGUUGGAACCCCAAAAACAACACUGACUUUGAUUAUCAGGCCAGAGGGAAACUGAGAAUAGAACGACAGGAGUGCCAAGUGAGUAAAAACCAACUCAGCGUUUUAAUUGCUUAAUCUGCAGCAGUUCUGAUCAUUUUCUUUUCUUUUUAGCUUUCUGUGCAGCUCAAUGGAACGUCGGGACGAGUCGGUCUUUAUUCUUCUCUCAGACAUCCCUUCAAAUCAAAGAUUCCACAAACAUUAGAGGUAAAGGCCACUGCAGACGUUUUUGCAGUGGCUGGCACAGGAAGUAGCUCAGUACAUGUGAGGGCUGAUGGGAAGGACAGGGUGAAACUGGACACCCAGAUGUCCCACUCCUUCCAGAGGGGAGCCAGAGCCGUGGGACUGAGGGUGAACGUAUCCCAGAGCCUGCUGCCUUCGGCCACUGACCUGCAUAUCAACAUGGCUGCCAACAUUACCUCGGACAGGUAUCAUUUUUUGUCAGAUAUCACAGAUCUACAGUGACGAUAAUAUAUGUAAUAAACAAUGUUGAAUGUCUCUUUAUGGACUUUUGAACUCAUUGCAUUACUGUGCUCUGUCUCCUCCAGCGUGUCUCUACAUGGCUCCUAUACACAGGGGCACGAGGCUCUACUGGCUCAGGUCAAAGGGUCUCUUAAAGACACCCGGGGCCUCCAGCUGGCUGUGUCCGGGGACCUGAGGCACUCUAUGGCCAACCUUGCUAUUUUGCCUCCAGUCCUGGGCUUAGACGGGCUGCUGGGACACUCUGACACCCUCAUUGAAGGACAGCUGAGAGUUAGAGUGAUGGAGACCUUGUACAGUGUGGAGCUGAGACAUCAGGAGGAACCCGGAGAGUCUUCAGACAGAGAAGAUGAAGAGGGCAUGAUGGGAAAGAAAUUUCAUGUGGCCCGUGAUUGGCUGUGUGUUUGGUCAGGGGCGGAGCAUUUGUGCGUGAAUGCAAGCCGCCGACUUGGGAAUGGAGGGACGGGUGAGGUCUACACCAGACUAUCUCACUCCUUCCACCUGCUCAAUGCCACAGGUAAAUCAUUACUUUAUACAUAUACACAGAAUAAUGUGUCCUGGAGUCUCAGUGUCUGUGUCUUCUGGAUACAGGUGUACCUGCCAGCAGUGAUGCCCAGGCGAGGUGGGCCCAGGAUGGCGGUCGACUGUCAGUCCUUGCAGAGCUGCACGCUGGACCAGAACAUCUAAAAGCUGAGUUUAAUGGAGGCAAGACAGACCAGGUAACACCACGAUGGGAGUACUUCUCCAGGCUGCAGCAUCAAGUCAAAGCCCUGCUGAAAAGAGGUGUAUCAAGCUCCAUACAAGCCGAAGCACAUUAUCAGGUGCAGGACUAUCUUCUAUUUUCCUAUCCCUAGCAAGUUCAUAUUUCAUUUACAAGCGUAGAUGCAUCAAUCUGUUGUCUUUCCUCUAUCGUUAUUUGUUACGUUUUUCUUCCCACUGUUAGUUAGAAGCAGGAGGCCUGGACACAGGCUUGGUCCUUCACAUGGGAGACGAGAGAAUGGUUGACAUCGUCUUUAAUGUCGGAUUGAAAAACAGCACAGCUAUAUUGGUAGUGUCUCUAUGGCAACAGAUGAAGCUGCUCCAGGAAGUCAUACCCACCUCUUUACAGGUGAACUUAACAUCACUUACACAAACAUUAGAACUCUGGCUGUGUCUUUAUUCAUCUUAACCCAUGAUCUUUAGUUGUAGAGCAUUGUGUUUAAGUCUUA